CUGAAGGAUGCCUCCUUUCAAAGGCCAGUUGCAAUGAUUGAGAUGCCUUAGUCCUGACAUGAAGUGGGAAGGAGACUGUAAAGGAGAAGGUCUGGCCAGCUGAAAAACAAACAUGGAAUCACACCUGAGUGAGGAUGUGCUGCUAAAUGAAGAUGAAGGAAAGCAUUUCCCUGUGUGUUUUGAUGACUGCUGCUCACCCUUGAGCUGAGACUAUUUGGACCAGGAGCAAGAGGCACUUGUGAAGCUUGGAGCAGAGGCUCUGAGUUUAUGAGUGCCAAGAGACUGCUGCAGAGGAUCAAUGUGAAGUGUCGUGGCUGUCUGAAGGAGCUGGCUCAACAGAAGCAGUUUGUCUGCUGGGUCAGGCAAGCACUGAAAGAUAUGAAUGAGCUGAAGGUAGUUGUGGACUUGACAUCCAUUUCUGCUGGGGAGAAUGACAUGGAUGUGGGCUGUGUGGCCUGUUUCCAUGAUGCUGUGCAUGGCUACCCUUCCCCUGCUGUGUGACCCUAUGAAAAUAGGUUUAAAUACAGAUGGCAUUGGAAUAAUUGCUAGCAGUGGAAAGCUGAUUCAUAGCACCUUCACAUAUAUGUUACUGCUUAUAAUAGCUGUGAACAUGGUGUAUAUAUUUCUUAUAACAUUUUGAAUCUGUUACCCUUUCCUAUCAGUUAAAGGUCUGCUCUUGAUUCCCUCUUCUCUAUUUCUCUUCCCUUUUCAAUAACACAGUCUGAGGAAGAAUAUAUCAGAAGACUCUUAAUGAAAAUGUCAGGUGUAUUAUAUGGAAAUUGCCUGUUUAUUGGGAGU
This is a long non-coding RNA of Pogoniulus pusillus (Red-fronted tinkerbird), 798 nucleotides long. RefSeq lists it as uncharacterized. NCBI's taxonomy places the organism in Eukaryota, Metazoa, Chordata, Aves, Piciformes, Lybiidae. The record is from RefSeq and is a predicted model, not a curated record. The transcript is spliced from 4 exons.